AGUGAACGCUGGCGGUAGGCCUAACACAUGCAAGUCGAACGGCAGCACAGUAAGAGCUCGCUUUUACGGGUGGCGAGUGGCGGACGGGUGAGGAAUACAUCGGAAUCUACUUUUUCGUGGGGGAUAUCGUAGGGAAACUUACGCUAAUACCGCAUACGACCUACGGGUGAAAGCAGGGGAUCUUCGGACUUUGCGUGUUUGAAUGAGCCGAUGUCGGAUUAGCUAGUUGGCGGGGUAAAGGCCCACCAAGGCAACGAUCCGUAGCUGGUCUGAGAGGAUGAUCAGCCACACUGGAACUGAGACACGGUCCAGACUCCUACGGGAGGCAGCAGUAGGGAAUAUUGGACAAUGGGCGCAAGCCUGAUGCAGCCAUGCCGCGUGGGUGAAGAAGGCCUUCGGGUUGUAAAGCCCUUUUAUUAGGAAAGAAAAGCAGCAUGUUAAUACCCCGCUGUUCUGACGGUACCCAAAGAGUAAGCACCGGCUAACUUCGUG
This 492-nucleotide ribosomal RNA is filed under the name uncultured bacterium. RNAcentral describes it as "partial 16S ribosomal RNA". It matches the Rfam family "Bacterial small subunit ribosomal RNA", at positions 29 to 507 of the family's 1533-position model. The record is from RNAcentral.